This 465-nucleotide ribosomal RNA is filed under the name Vreelandella stevensii. RNAcentral describes it as "partial 16S ribosomal RNA". It matches the Rfam family "Bacterial small subunit ribosomal RNA", at positions 338 to 795 of the family's 1533-position model. The record is from RNAcentral. Lineage: Bacteria; Pseudomonadati; Pseudomonadota; Gammaproteobacteria; Oceanospirillales; Halomonadaceae.
CCUACGGAAGGCAGCAGUGGGGAAUAUUGGACAAUGGGCGAAAGCCUGAUCCAGCCAUGCCGCGUGUGUGAAGAAGGCCUUCGGGUUGUAAAGCACUUUCAGUGGGGAAGAAAGCCUUGGGGCUAAUACCCUCGAGGAAGGACAUCACCCACAGAAGAAGCACCGGCUAACUCCGUGCCAGCAGCCGCGGUAAUACGGAGGGUGCGAGCGUUAAUCGGAAUUACUGGGCGUAAAGCGCGCGUAGGCGGUCUGAUAAGCCGGUUGUGAAAGCCCCGGGCUCAACCUGGGAACGGCAUCCGGAACUGUCAGGCUAGAGUGCAGGAGAGGAAGGUAGAAUUCCCGGUGUAGCGGUGAAAUUCGUAGAGAUCGGGAGGAAUACCAGUGGCGAAGGCGGCCUUCUGGACUGACACUGACGCUGAGGUGCGAAAGCGUGGGUAGCAAACAGGAUUAGAUACCCGAGUAGUC